CCUGCCGGUCCGGCUUCUUUCCUUGAAGUGAGCGCCACGGUGCCGUGCCUCCGUUUCCUGCAAGUGCUGGUUUCUGGGCCAGCUGUGUCCCUGGAGCCCUUGGACAGCGUCUUUGGGCGCGCUCACUCCCUGCGAAGCAUCUUGCAAAAAUGGCUCUCCAGGAUUCACUUAUUCCAGCCGCCCCGAGGGCCGGAUGUUACCCUCACCUGAUAGGGGCUGCGAGCCCGGACCGUGGUGCGGGCGUCCUGGGGCCUUCCCGUAGCUGCCAGUGGGUUUCCCUCAUUUAGCCCACUGCACCCUCCCCAGCGCAUCUGAGGCUCGGAAAGGUGAGGUGGUUUCCUCAAGGCCCCCAGCCCACCCUGGAGGAGGCGAGAACUUGGCCCCUUCAGCUUCCUGCCGGCCGCAGGCCGUUGAAUCAGCGGACUCUGAACUUCUUGGAAAACAGCUUUCUGCAGGUGAAUGCAGGAUGGGGCACAGUCCCGUCUCGGGCUGUUGAGAGCUGUGGGACGAUAACUCUGAUUCGUUCCACAGGGCUGUGAGCGCCAACUACAUGCCAAGCGCGGGAGUCCCCUGCCUCCUCGAGCAGGCAGAGAUGACGCAGAUGUGGAAACAGAGGCCCAGAGAGGCUUAAAGCUUGCCCAGGGUCACACAGCCCUAACACUGCAGAACUGACACUUGAGUCCAGAGAAGAGCAAGUCGAGACCACAGCUGGGCAGAGGCCGGCGAGGAAGCCUUUCUUGACUGACUAGGCAAGUGAGAUGAGGGAGCAAUCGCCCCCUCUGCCCUGGGUCAGGUUGCCUGGCUGGGCCCCCUGUGACCUGCCGCUCCCAGGAGAGCCACCACCCAUACCUCAUUCCUCCAAGGCCUGAGUAAGGCACCACGCAAGCUGGGAAAGAACAUUAAUUGAGCGCCUACUGCAUUCUAGCUGCUUGACCUACUUUGCCUCUUGAGAAAUGUAGCUACUGUCCUAUGUAGAGUGGGGUUGUGAGGCAGGAGCACGAGGUGGGUCCUCAAAGUGGCCAUGCAAAACCCCAGGGGAAGGUGUGGCCACAUUGGACACCCUGUACCACCUCCCGACAAGUCCUGCCUGGCCAGUGUUGCCCUGGGCAAAGGCGGAUAAAAUCACGGGCCAAGUGCAUAGAUUCCUCAGUGCGCUCCCCAUCCCCUGCCUGUAAGUGUGGGCCCCGCCCUGGGCCCUUUAUCUGGAUUAUUUCAUAACAGUCUUUUCUGUCACUCUGAAUGCAUCCACCACCUCUCCCCUUCCUCACUUGGAUCCAGCCUCACCAGCCUCCUGGCUGUCCCCCAACACCAGCAGCAGGUUCCCACCUCAGGGCCUUUGCACUUGCUGUUCCCUCUGCCUGGCAUGUCCCAGGGGUUCCCUUCCUCACCUCCUGCAGGUCUCUGUUCAGAUGUCACCUUCUCAGUACAGCCUUCUCGACCCCCCUGUUGAAAUCAAACACUUCUCUUGUCCCAGCACUCCUGACCCCCUCCCUGUCAGACUUUCCACAGCACGUAAGACCAUCUGGCAGAUGUAUUUCAUCUGUUUGUUAACUGUCUGCUCCGUUCACCUGCACUGGCACGUGAGCACCACGAGCGACCUCCCCGUUUUCUUUACUGCUGUAUUCCCAGUGCCUGGCAUGCAGUAGGUGCUUAAUAAAUGUUUGAUGAAUGAAGGCCCUCCAAUCCUCUGAAGUGGGGUCUGUUCACACCCACAUUUCAUGGGGGCCGUCAGAGCUGAGCUAGGAAAUCAGCAGAGCUGGCACCCGCUGGGGACCACCGAAGGGCAGCGGGUCUGGUCCCGGGGAUGAUGGAAACAGCUGCCUGGAAUGAGGCCUGGCUUUGAACGUCAGCUGCGCCCAACGAGCUUGGUGGCCCUGGGCGAGUCUCUAACCUCUCUGUGCUGUCUCUCCAUCUGUCACGUGCGGUCACGCCAGUCCCUGCCAGCUUGGCUUGGCCGCCAGAUUAAGCGAGGGGAGAUGCACGAGAUGGGGGGCACGCAGUGGGGAGGAGCCCCCAACAGUAUUGGGGCGGGAGGACAGCAGGAGGGGCAGGAGCCUGGCCUCUGGGGCCGGUCCCACGGGGCUUCGGUCCUGGCUCUGCUCCUGCAGGGCCGCGUGCGUGAGCCUGGGCGGGGCCCUGGAGCGCUUUGAGCCUCAGUUUCCCCCCCACCGCCCGCGGAAG
RNAcentral lists this long non-coding RNA (2181 nucleotides) under Equus asinus (donkey). RNAcentral's name for it is "lncRNA (ENSEASG00005025987.1)". The record is from RNAcentral. Lineage: Eukaryota; Metazoa; Chordata; Mammalia; Perissodactyla; Equidae.